RNAcentral lists this ribosomal RNA (468 nucleotides) under uncultured bacterium. Its description in RNAcentral is "partial 16S ribosomal RNA". It matches the Rfam family "Bacterial small subunit ribosomal RNA", at positions 28 to 507 of the family's 1533-position model. The record is from RNAcentral.
GACGAACGCUGGCGGCGUGCUUAACACAUGCAAGUCGAACGGAAAGGCCCUGCUUUUGUGGGGUGCUCGAGUGGCGAACGGGUGAGUAACACGUGAGUAACCUGCCCUUGACUUUGGGAUAACUUCAGGAAACUGGGGCUAAUACCGGAUAGGAGCUCCUGCUGCAUGGUGGGGGUUGGAAAGUUUCGGCGGUUGGGGAUGGACUCGCGGCUUAUCAGCUUGUUGGUGGGGUAGUGGCUUACCAAGGCUUUGACGGGUAGCCGGCCUGAGCGGGUGACCGGCCACAUUGGGACUGACAUACGGCCCAAAUUCCUACGGGAGGCAGCAGUGGGGAAUAUUGCACUAUGGGCGGAAGCCUGAUGCAGCAACGCCGCGUGCGGGAUGUCGGCCUUCGGGUUGUAAACCGUUUUCGCCUGUGACGAAGCGUGAGUGACGGUAAUGGGUAAAGAAGCACCGGCUAACUACGUG